UAGGGAAUCUUCGGCAAUGGGCGCAAGCCUGAUGGAGCAACACCGCGUGAGUGAAGAAGGGUUUCGGCUCGUAAAGCUCUGUUGUUAAAGAAGAACACGUAUGAGAGUAACUGUUCAUUCGAUGACGGUAUCUAACCAGCAAGUCACGGCUAACUACGUGCCAG
Molecule: ribosomal RNA, 164 nt
Filed under: uncultured bacterium
Lineage: Bacteria
Description: partial 16S rRNA
Rfam family: Bacterial small subunit ribosomal RNA
Source: RNAcentral